AUUGAACGCUGGCGGCAGGCCUAACACAUGCAAGUCGAACGGUAACAGGAAACAGCUUGCUGUUUCGCUGACGAGUGGCGGACGGGUGAGUAAUGUCUGGGAAACUGCCUGAUGGAGGGGGAUAACUACUGGAAACGGUAGCUAAUACCGCAUAACGUCGCAAGACCAAAGAGGGGGACCUUCGGGCCUCUUGCCAUCGGAUGUGCCCAGAUGGGAUUCGCUUGUUGGUGGGGUAACGGCUCACCAAGGCGACGAUCCCUAGCUGGUCUGAGAGGAUGACCAGCCACACUGGAACUGAGACACGGUCCAGACUCCUACGGGAGGCAGCAGUGGGGAAUAUUGCACAAUGGUCGCAAGCCUGAUGCAGCCAUGCCGCGUGUAUGAAGAAGGCCUUCGGGUUGUAAAGUACUUUCAGCGGGGAGGAAGGGAGUAAAGUUAAUACCUUGGCUCAUUGACGUUACCCGCAGAAGAAGCACCGGCUAACUCCGUG
This 490-nucleotide ribosomal RNA is filed under the name uncultured bacterium. Its description in RNAcentral is "partial 16S ribosomal RNA". It matches the Rfam family "Bacterial small subunit ribosomal RNA", at positions 30 to 507 of the family's 1533-position model. The record is from RNAcentral.